CCCUGCGCGUUCACGCUGUAGUUGCUCGCUAGUGGAGACACCGAGGGGCAGAUAACUCUCCGUUUUUCCAUGAAUAACUGCCCCUUCAGCGCGACCGCCAGCUGACGCACUGCCUGCGCGAACCCACGCGGACGGAGGAGCGACGCGGCGCGAUCGUGCGAGGAGUAUCCGGUGUUGUUCCUCUGCUCCAGUAUGGCUCAGCCGAGCUCGUGUGCUCAGAGCAGUAACGGUGUGGCUGACGAGUCUCCAAACAUGCUGGUCUACAGGAAACAUGCAUCACCCUGUGCCGUCAAGAAAACCAAGAAAGAGAGAAAAUGUGAAAAGUGUCAGAAGUCUCGAGUCACUCUGAGAGCCGAAGCGUCAGAUAACCCAUGAUCUGGAUCUGCAGGAUUAGAGUUUGGUGCCACUGUAAUGAUCGAACGCUUGGUUUGCA
Molecule: long non-coding RNA, 433 nt
Organism: Sinocyclocheilus grahami
Lineage: Eukaryota; Metazoa; Chordata; Actinopteri; Cypriniformes; Cyprinidae
Exons: 3
Source: RefSeq, a predicted model, not a curated record